RNAcentral lists this non-coding RNA (45 nucleotides) under Schistosoma margrebowiei. The record is from RNAcentral. Lineage: Eukaryota; Metazoa; Platyhelminthes; Trematoda; Strigeidida; Schistosomatidae.
AUCCAGCUGACGGGUCCCAAAUACGACGAAACGUGAGUCCUGAAU